This 371-nucleotide ribosomal RNA is filed under the name uncultured organism. Its description in RNAcentral is "bacterial SSU rRNA". It matches the Rfam family "Bacterial small subunit ribosomal RNA", at positions 526 to 896 of the family's 1533-position model. The record is from RNAcentral.
CGUAGGGCGCGAGCGUGUCCGGAUUAUUGGGCGUAAAGAGCUCGUAGGCGGCUUGUCGCGUCGACUGUGAAACCCGCGGCUCAACCGCGGGCUUGCAGCCGAUACGGGCAGGCUAGAGUUCGGUAGGGGAGACUGGAAUUCCUGGUGUAGCGGUGAAAUGCGCAGAUAUCAGGAGGAACACCGGUGGCGAAGGCGGGUCUCUGGGCCGAUACUGACGCUGAGGAGCGAAAGCGUGGGGAGCGAACAGGAUUAGAUACCCUGGUAGUCCACGCUGUAAACGUUGGGCGCUAGGUGUGGGGGGGCCUCUCCGGUUCUCUGUGCCGCAGCUAACGCAUUAAGCGCCCCGCCUGGGGAGUACGGCCGCAAGGCUA